Molecule: long non-coding RNA, 203 nt
Filed under: Elaeis guineensis (African oil palm)
Lineage: Eukaryota; Viridiplantae; Streptophyta; Magnoliopsida; Arecales; Arecaceae
Description: long non-coding RNA (EGUI_LNC004797)
Source: RNAcentral
UGGGCACAUGGCUUUGCUUAGUGUCAGUCCUUUUACGGAUAGGUAUACUUAAUGGUUUACAUUUUGACAUGUUAAACCUCUUGAGUAUCUUCUUUAGAUACUUUUCUUUAUCCAAAUAUAAUAACUUAGAAUAUUUAUAAUGGGAGAUUCUUAUUCCUAGGACAAAGAUGGUCUCACUCAUGUCUUUCAUUUCAAAUUUGGAU